This 779-nucleotide long non-coding RNA is filed under the name Physcomitrium patens. RNAcentral describes it as "long non-coding RNA (PPAT_LNC002812)". The record is from RNAcentral. Lineage: Eukaryota; Viridiplantae; Streptophyta; Bryopsida; Funariales; Funariaceae.
UCUUACCAAUUUUAAUUUCUAAUCAACAAAAAAAGCAUCCAUUUUUUUUAUACUCAUAGCUUUGUACAUUAGGAUCUAGUUUUAACUCUAGUUCACUACUAAUCUUCUUUAAAUAUCAAUCUAAGGUUUUUCUAAGUAAUUUUUGUUAAAUUAUAUACUCUACCUUCACUUAAGAUGCCUAUAAUAUUGUAUUUGCCAACCUACUUUGAUUUCUCUUGUUUAUGGCCCUACAAAGAAAGAAAAAGCCUUUUUCAUAAAAAAAAGCAUUAGCAUUGUAUUGCCUCCACCACCUCUAUAAAUUUUAUCUUUGUUUUUAAGGUAAUUUCUACUAUUAUUUUAAAUAAGCUCUUUUGUAUUAUAAUCCUUAUUUUAUUUUUUAUUUUAUCUUGUAACCAUGUUACAAUACAAUAAUAUGGCUAUUAAAACUUGUGCCAUAAGAUUUCUAAUAUUGAAAAGUUGUAUUGGCAAUGAUUAUUAACUUGGUGCUUAAGCCACAAGUUUUAUAGUCAUUAGAAAGCUUCAAAAAGGACUUCUUGGUAGCAUAUAUGUGUAUAUAUAUAUAUAAAAGCAAAGCCAUCUUUAACCUUAGUAAUACCUUCUUUAUUCUAAUCUUGUUUCAAGGCUCUUUAGCUUCUUUUUGUUUGGUAGUAGUCAUUCUAGUUCUUUUCUAUCUUAUGUCUAUAAUUUUUUUGACAAAUUCUUUUGAAGCAACUUACAACUUGGAUACUUAGGCCAUAAGAUUUGUAGUCCUUAGAAAGCUUCUAUAAGAAUUUUUGGUA